GGGAAUCUUCCACAAUGGAGGAAAGCCUGAUGGAGCAACGCCACGUGAGUGAUGAAGGGUUUCGGCUCGUAAAACUCUGUUGUUGGAGAAGAACAGGUGUCAGAGUAACUGUUGACAUCUUGACGGUAUCCAACCAGAAAGCCACGGCUAACUACGUGCCAGCAGCCGCGGUAAUACGUAGGUGGCAAGCGUUGUCCGGAUUUAUUGGGCGUAAAGCGAGCGCAGGCAGUUUUUUAGGUCAGAUGUGAAAGCCUUCGGCUUAACCGGAGAAGUGCAUCGGAAACCGGGAGACUUGAGUGCAGAAGAGGACGGUGGAACUCCAUGUGUAGCGGUGAAAUGCGUAGAUAUAUGGAAGAACACCAGUGGCGAAGGCGGCUGUCUGGUCUGUAACUGACGCUGAGGCUCGAAAGCAUGGGUAGCG
This 421-nucleotide ribosomal RNA is filed under the name uncultured bacterium. Its description in RNAcentral is "bacterial SSU rRNA". It matches the Rfam family "Bacterial small subunit ribosomal RNA", at positions 357 to 770 of the family's 1533-position model. The record is from RNAcentral.